Oreochromis niloticus (Nile tilapia) is the source of this 3825-nucleotide long non-coding RNA. RefSeq lists it as uncharacterized. The transcript has 2 exons. Lineage: Eukaryota; Metazoa; Chordata; Actinopteri; Cichliformes; Cichlidae. The record is from RefSeq and is a predicted model, not a curated record.
GUGGCUGUAAGUACAGCCAUCACACACUCCCCCUCUUCAGAUCUCUCCCUGGGACAGCGAGAGAGACAGUCUGCAGUGCAGUUAUCUUUGCCGGGGAUGUGGUUGAUGAAGCGGAAUGGCUGGAUUGCAAGGUACCAUCGCGUGAUCCUUCCAUUUGUGUCCUUCAUUCUCUCUAUCCAUUGAAGAGCCUUGUGGUCCGUUUCCAAUAUGAACUCCCGUCCGAGAAGAUAAUACCUAAAGGAGUCCAGGGCCCAUUUGAUGGCAAGUCCCUCCUUCUCGAUGGUCGAGUAUCGCACUUCCCUCGGAAACAGCUUGCGGCUGAUGAAGGCCACUGGAUGACGCUCUCUAGGCGGUCCCUGUAACUGUGAGGCAUCAGUCUGAAGAAUGAAAUUUCUCUCAAAAUCAGGGCUGUGCAAGACUGGGCUCUUACUCAGAUUGUCGUAGGUCCUGAAAAGCCAUCUUAGCCUCCUCUGUCCAGGUGAUCUUAUUGGGACUUCGGGCACCAGUCAGAUCCGUCAGAAGAGCUGCCCCGGUGGAGAAAUGAGGGAUAAACCGAUGAUAGAAUCCUGCCAUACCUAAAAACGAUCUCAGCUGUUUUCUGGUCUCUGGCAAGGGACAGGAUUCUAUGGCGGUGACCUUAUUGACUUGAGGUUUUAUUACUCCCAUUUCCAAUCACAAACCCAAGGUACUCAGUUUCAGCCUUCGCAAUGGCACACUUAGCUGGAUUAACAGUCAACCCUGCAGACUGAAGACGCCCCAAUACCUUCUCCAGGUGUUGUAGAUGUUCUUCCCAGGUAGAACUGAAAAUCACUAUGUCAUCAAGGUAGGCUGCAGCAAAAUCAGACAUGUCAGACAGUACCUGGUCCAUCAGUCUCUGGAAUGUUGCUGGGGCACCAUGCAGUCCAAAGGGCAUGACUUUAAACUGGAACAAGCCCCACGGGGUCCGGAAAGCAGUCAGCUCUUUUGAGCGCUCAGUCAGUGGUACCUGCCAAUAACCCUUGCAGAGGUCUAUUGUUGUCAGGUAUCUGGCCUUCCCAAGGCGCUCAACCAUGUCAUCAAUGCGGGGAGUUGGAUAUGAAUCAAAUUGUGAUAUUGCAUUCAGGUACCUGAAGUCUAUGCAGAAACGGAUACUACCAUCCUUCUUUGGCACCAGGACCACUGGGUGGCACCACUCACUCUUUGAGGCUUCAAUGAUUCCUAGUGACAACAUCAGGUCGAUCUCCUCUUUCAACGGGAUCAGUAGACGCUCAGGAAGAUGGUUGAGAUCCAGGUCCUGAGGAGUGGGUUUUGGCAGAUACUGAUCAUCCACUUCCUCCUCCUCCGAAACCUCCCGGAUCAGAAAGACAUCUGCUUUUGGUCUCUCCACCCAUUCCUUAAGCAGGUUAAUGUGCAGUACUCUGCUGGAGCGGGGCUGAUCUGGAAUAGCAACCUUAUAGGUUGUUUGCCCAAGUUUCUUUUGGAUCUCAUAUGGCCCUUGCCACUUUGCUAACAGCUUACUGUCAUCACUUGGAAGAAGCACCAGCACCUUCUGACCAGGACUGAAGGAUCUUUGCCGAGCUGACUGGUCGUACCAGGCCUUCUGGUGCUGCUGUGCUUCUGCUUUGUGGGCUUGGGCCAGCUCCGUCAUCUUCUCCAACCGUUCCCGCAUCUGGACAACAUAAGAGACAACAUUGACAGCCUGUGAUCUUUCUUGGUCACCCUCCCAAGUCUCCCUCAGAAGAGACAAGGGGCCUCAUACCUCAUGGCCAUACAAUAAUUCAAAAGGUGAAAAACCUGUAGAGGCCUGGGGUACUUCUCUAUAUGCAAAGAGGAGGUAGGGCAGCCACCGAUCCCAGUCUGUACCAGUUUCAUUGACAAAUUUACGUAACAUUUGUUUCAGGGUCUGAUUGAAGCGCUCUGUUAGGCCAUCUGUCUGAGGAUGGUAUGGCGUUGUCCUCAGGCUCUUAAUCCCAAGGAGCUGGUACACCUGCUUCAACAAAGUGGACAUAAAAUUAGUGCCACGGUCAGUAAGAAUCUCACGAGGAAAACCAACCCUUGAGAAGAACUGUAUGAGACAGAGGGCGACUGCUUUGGCUUUUAUUGAUCUCAAAGGAAAGACCUCCGGAUAUUUUGUAGCGUAAUCUGUCACAACAAGCAUGUAACGGUUGCCUGCCUUGCUUCUUUCUAGAGGACCAACAAUGUCCAUUCCUAGCCGUUCAAAUGGAGUGCUGAUAAUUGGUAGAGACUGGAGAGGAGCUCUGGAGGGGAUUUUAAGAGAAGACUUCUGGCACUGAGGGCAGCUUUUGCAGAACAGUGUCACAUCUGAGCACAUUCCAGGCCAAUGAAAAUAGUUUUUAAUGCGGGCCAUGGUUUUGUGCUUUCCCAAGUGGCCAGCCCAUGGAAUGGAGUGUCCCAAGGAGAGCACCACCUUCUGAACUGCUCUAGGAACCACCAACUGUAAUGCUGAACCCUGCUGACGAUACAGAAUGCCAUCCUUCAGCAGAAACUCCCCCUUGCUGUUCAGAUCUUGCUUAGUUCCUUGGUUCCUCUCUGCAGCUUUCUGGAACAGAGAUGUUAGAGAUGGAUCGUCAUGUUGCAUUUCAAUAAUAUUAGCAGGGAUUUUAAAACCCAAAGGUAACUCAGGCUCUGUGCUAUGAGCUGCUCGAACAGCAUUAUGUAGAAACGUCUCUUGCCUUCUCUGUCUACGUGACUUACGAGACUUCCCGGGUGCAGUCUCUAUGUCCACAUCAUAGAAGGGCAAGGCACGGAGUGGGUGUAGGGAUUCCUCUUUCUUCUUAGCUUGAGCUCUUGUUACUGCAACAUUGCAUGUAUGACUAGGAUUCAGCAAGUCAAACAACACAGGCAGAUCUCGACCCAGCACUACUAGAAACGGCAGAUUCUCUGCAACACCAAUAUUUAGAAUAUAGGUUUGUCCUUGUACCUUGAUGUACAGAUCUGCUGUUGGAUAUGACCUCUCAUCUCCAUGAAUGCAGCAAACAGGGAUUGUCUCCACAUUAUUAACUUUAUUUGCAGGAACAAAGUCUCGGUGCACAAGAGUCUGAGUACUUCCUGAGUCAACAAGGGCCUUUAAUGGUUUCCCAUCAACCUCAGCUAAGGUCAUUUUGAAACCAUUCUCAAACUCCACUUUAGGUUCCACACUUUGUCGGGGCACAAAACACAUCUGAGUUAUUUUUGUAGAAUUCUUCGGGCACAUCGGUUUUGUGUGGCCCUCCAUUCCACACAAAUAACAAAUCACAGUCUUGGGUGGAGAUCUUGACGGCAUAUUGACAGACUGGCUUUUUGGAGGUUUACUCACCCCUGCUUUCUGGUAGUGAGGUACAGAUUUUGAAACAUCUCUCAUUUUCCAUGCUGUGUGGCUCCAUGGCUGUCCUUUUCUCCGUGCCGCCACAAACACAUCAGCCAGUUCUGCAGCCGCCGCAGCAGAGUUUGGAUUGCGUUCUUUAAUCCAUAUCUGUAACUCAGGAGACAACAUUCUCAAGUAUUGUUCUAAAAUUAAUAUUUCACCAACCUCAUGCACCGUUUUUCCUUUUGGCUUUACCCACUUCUCAUAUAACUCUUUCAAUCUUGCAUAUAGUUCUUUUGGAUUCUCAUCAGGUUUUACCUCCAGUGAACGGAAUCUCAGUCUAUAUGUCUCAGGAUUAAUGUCAUAUUUUUGAAGGAUAGCUGCUUUAACUUUGUCAUAAUCUAGAGAGUCAUCCAUAUCCAUAUGAACAUAUGCACCUCUUGCUUUGCCAGUGAGUAAAGGAAUCAGAUGAAAAACCCAGUCCAUUUUUUGCCACCGGCAAACUACAGCCAUGUGUUCAAAUGUUGUUAAAAAAUGUUCAA